UGCCGGCGACCGGCGGACGGGUGCGUAACGCGUAUGUAACCUACCUUUGACAGGGGGAUAACAUCGAGAAAUUGGUACUAAUACCCCAUAACAUCACCGGAGGGCAUCUUCGGUGGUUGAAAACUCAGGUGGUCAGAGAUGGACAUGCGUUGUAUUAGCUAGUUGGUGAGGUAACGGCUCACCAAGGCGACGAUACAUAGGGGGACUGAGAGGUCAACCCCCCACAUUGGUACUGAGACACGGACCAAACUCCUACGGGAGGCAGCAG
Molecule: ribosomal RNA, 268 nt
Filed under: uncultured bacterium
Lineage: Bacteria
Description: partial 16S ribosomal RNA
Rfam family: Bacterial small subunit ribosomal RNA
Source: RNAcentral